RNAcentral lists this long non-coding RNA (841 nucleotides) under Brassica rapa (field mustard). RNAcentral describes it as "long non-coding RNA (BRAP_LNC007463)". The record is from RNAcentral. Lineage: Eukaryota; Viridiplantae; Streptophyta; Magnoliopsida; Brassicales; Brassicaceae.
UCAAGUCGACUUUCCUCAAGUACGGUGCUCCGUCCAUCGACACCUUCACAAACGAAGCCGUCUCCGUGCCACCGCUUGGUUUUUGGCACGAACCCAUCACGUUCUUCCGGUAUGACCUCACAGGUGGCCAUCCCACAACUUGUGCCCUUCAAAAUUAUAUAUUAUAGAAAAUUGGAAAACAGUUAUAUUAUACAACCUUUGUAUGACAACAUGUUUAUAUAAAGUGUAGUUAGCUCAUAGUAAAUCAGUUCUUACGUUAUGUUCCAAAUAUGCUAUAUUUGCAUGAGACUAUAUAUGGUUUAACUGGUGAGAGAAUUAGAUUUUUUUAUUUUAUUCCUGCGGACUUGCAACGUUAUAAGAAAAAAAAAAUAAACCUUAGACAUACUACUUAGAUCAUUUGAGUCUUUUUUAAAAACUAAGUUUAGCUACAAUUUCUUUAAAAAGUUUCCGUUGUUUGCUCAAACUUUAUACAUCUUAAUGAGGUUUUAUCAACACAAAGAAUAGUUAUCGCUAGAAAUAAUAUCUUGGAGGUCCAUCAAAUUUAAUUUUCCGCAUAAAGAUAAGAAAAAGAAACUUCCGCGAAGAUCGGAAAAUAAAUAGAAAAGGGGAACAUAGUCAAAUUACUUGGCAGGAGGCUUGGCGGGAUCUUUGGGAGAUGAACUCUUUUCCUUGGAAACAGAAGUCACGACGUCAUGAGUCUUAGAUCCUUCAUUGCUUUCAGGUUCAUUGUUCAGAUUCAGCUUCAAAUCAACUGUCUCCGAGAACCCUCUCUUGGUUCCAGUCACCGGAGCCCCCGUUUCUCCGCCGGGAAGGCCAAGACACAGCUCAGUCUCUCUCAGAU